RNAcentral lists this ribosomal RNA (702 nucleotides) under Stutzerimonas stutzeri. Its description in RNAcentral is "bacterial SSU rRNA". The stretch from base 10 to 515 matches the Rfam family "Bacterial small subunit ribosomal RNA", at positions 37 to 537 of the family's 1533-position model. Lineage: Bacteria; Pseudomonadati; Pseudomonadota; Gammaproteobacteria; Pseudomonadales; Pseudomonadaceae. The record is from RNAcentral.
AAUUGACGCUGGCGGCAGGCUAACACAUGCAAGUCGAGCGGAUGAGUGGAGCUUGCUCCAUGAUUCAGCGGCGGACGGGUGAGUAAUGCCUAGGAAUCUGCCUGGUAGUGGGGGACAACGUUUCGAAAGGAACGCUAAUACCGCAUACGUCCUACGGGAGAAAGUGGGGGAUCUUCGGACCUCACGCUAUCAGAUGAGCCUAGGUCGGAUUAGCUAGUUGGCGAGGUAAAGGCUCACCAAGGCGACGAUCCGUAACUGGUCUGAGAGGAUGAUCAGUCACACUGGAACUGAGACACGGUCCAGACUCCUACGGGAGGCAGCAGUGGGGAAUAUUGGACAAUGGGCGAAAGCCUGAUCCAGCCAUGCCGCGUGUGUGAAGAAGGUCUUCGGAUUGUNAAGCACUUNAAGUUGGGAGGAAGGGCAGUGAGUUAAUACCUUGCUGUUUUGACGUUACCGACAGAAUAAGCACCGGCUAACUUCGUGCCAGCAGCCGCGGUAAUACGGAAGGGUUGCAAAGNCGUUUCAAGUGCGCGAAUUAACUAGGUGACGGUUACNAGACCGCGCGCAGUGUGGUAUCGAUAAACGUUNGGAAUGUGAAUAGCCCAAGAGGCAUCAANACUGCGAACUGCAAUCCAAAAGCAUGGACAGAAGCCUNACAGGUAUUGGCANAGGGGUGGAACACANUACCCAUGUGUAAGCGNG